AACGAACGCUGGCGGCAGGCUUAACACAUGCAAGUCGAGCGCCCCGCAAGGGGCGCGGCUGACGGGUGAGUAACGCGUGGGAACGUACCUUUUGGUUCGGAACAACUCCGGGAAACUGGAGCUAAUACCGGAUAAGCCCUAACGGGGAAAGAUUUAUCGCCGAAAGAUCGGCCCGCGUCUGAUUAGCUAGUUGGUGAGGUAACGGCUCACCAAGGCGACGAUCAGUAGCUGGUCUGAGAGGAUGAUCAGCCACACUGGGACUGAGACACGGCCCAGACUCCUACGGGAGGCAGCAGUGGGGAAUAUUGGACAAUGGGCGCAAGCCUGAUCCAGCCAUGCCGCGUGAGUGAUGAAGGCCUUAGGGUUGUAAAGCUCUUUUGUCCGGGAAGAUAAUGACUGUACCGGAAGAAUAAGCCCCGGCUAACUUCGUG
Molecule: ribosomal RNA, 431 nt
Filed under: uncultured bacterium
Lineage: Bacteria
Description: partial 16S ribosomal RNA
Rfam family: Bacterial small subunit ribosomal RNA
Source: RNAcentral